RNAcentral lists this long non-coding RNA (2052 nucleotides) under Sus scrofa (pig). RNAcentral's name for it is "lncRNA (ENSSSCG00050062387.1)". The record is from RNAcentral. Lineage: Eukaryota; Metazoa; Chordata; Mammalia; Artiodactyla; Suidae.
UGAACCAGUGAGCAUUGAGUUUGGGUUGGAUAGAAGAGAUAAAGUGAGAAAGCCUUUAAGCCAGUUUCUCUGAAAAUGAGAAUCUUUUGCCAAUCCAUGAAACACAAGUAUUUUUAUAAGUAUGUAUAUGUAUAUCAUCUGUAUGUGUGUGUGUGUGUGUGUGAUGAAAAUAUAAAUAGCCCUCAAGAAUAUUCCAGGAGUUGUCAGAGGUCCCUGUCCUUUCAAAAGCUCCAGUUUCCCUCCUUACCUAAACAUGUCGAUUCAGUGUGAGUCCUGAAUUAUUCAUAGAAACAUAAGGCCUGUAUUUGUCUGUAUACAUUUGUCUCUGACUUUUUAUUUUUGUCGUUUCGACCCCAUUCCCUGGCCCUGCUUUGUUUUUCUUUUUCAGCUUUUUUUUUUUUUCCCUGUUGCUUUGGAAAAGAAACAUUAGACUAAGCUAUUUUAUUGCUUUCCUCUCUCCUUUAACAUACAACAUUUGCCUAACCUCUCAGAGUGUUGUGAUUUCCUGGCCCUGGAGUUCUGACGCCAGAGAUAAUGAGAGAGUUGAUCUGGUGCACCGAGGCCAGGCGGCGAAGAACAAACACUGUGCUGUGCUGGCACUGACAAGGUGACAGAGGGCUCACACUUGCCUCACAUGCGGCAGCUCCCAGUUCUACAACCCAGUUUUCUUGUGCUCUAGGGCUUUGUUGCUUACUGUUUGGGGGUCUGGGCAUAAUUGUAGUAGAUUCUAAAAAUCAUAGCACACAGUGAUGGACAAGUGUCUAUAAUUGUGUUUGAACAGGAAAGUAAAGACUCAGAUGGUUCAAUUCCUUGUUGAUCCCUGCUGUCAUUCAGUGCCCUAAUGACUAUUCAUCUUGCUUUGUGCAGCAAUCUGUAAGCAGACAGUGUAAGAACGUGUGCCCCAGGUGAAUGUGUGUGUGUGCAUGUGUGUUCAGGAAGGUCUCCCUCUCUUCUUGUCAAGACUGCGGCUGUCAACUACUUCUCCAAGGUGUUGCUGAGAAUCAGCACUAAGGGCUGUAAGCUGCCUGCCACUUAGAUGUGGCACCUUACAUGUGUGCUGCCUUCGCAAACCGACUUGCCUGUGUGCACAGUGCUAGCUUAUCUGUGAGAGGACAGGGCUAUUAUGAAAUGCAACUUCUCUUUGAGAUGCAUUACUCCAAAAGGAAAAAAAGAGCUACCCUUGCUGGAACAGCAGAGAGAAGGGUCUGUGUGCGCCCUCUACCAUUGUGGUUUUGAUGUCUAAAUCUUCUGGAGCGGAUUGCUGCACUGAUGAGAUAAAAGCAGUUGCCUUUCCAAGUGCUGUCCAUUUGCAUUGAUAUUUACAUUCUUUGCCAAAGUGACAUCAUUACCAUUUGCUUAGUAUUUGUACCACAGGGAUGUGCUUUACAUAAUUUAAGACUUGGAAGUGAUGAUAAUGUAUUUCAGAUGGGUAGCAGAGGCCACAGGGUGCUGAAUCUCAUCCCUUUCCUCCUCAAAGACCCUAGUGCAUAAAUGAGUCACUAGUCCAUAUCCCUAAAUCACAUUAACAGCACUGCCUACUUGGUGCCAACAAUGUGUCUGGCAUAGGGCUGGAUUAUGACUCCAUAUACUAUUGUUUAACCCUCAUGACAACAUUAUAAGAAUAGAUAUUAUUAUUCCCAUUAUACAGUAAGGAAACUGAGGGCUAGAAGAGUUAGUACCUUGCACAAGUCUCAAUUCAGAGCCAUCUGAUUCCUUGAUGCAGUGUCCUGCUAUCUUUCAUCUUAUAGCUUAUUUGUUCUUUCAGAUUUAAGAAAUAGAAACCUUUUUGUACUUUCUCAGAAGAUACCAACUGGAAUAAAAAGAAAAAAAAAACACAAUAUUAGGGCACUCUGACCUUGGUCCAUUUCUCUUUCAUUCCCAUCCUUACUCCAAGUGCCCAGAAACUCCUCUUCGAAAUGAGUAUAAAAGAGCCAUGUUUGCCUUGAGAUAUUGCUAGAUGGCAAAGUUGGAAGCCAGAUGAGAGAACUUUGCCAGAUGGCACUUAUUUACCUGAUUGUGUGUCUUCUUAGUUUCAUUCAUGGGAAGAGAUUU